This 75-nucleotide transfer RNA is filed under the name Mycoplasmataceae bacterium. Its description in RNAcentral is "tRNA-Gln". It matches the Rfam family "tRNA". From Rfam's summary of the family: Transfer RNA (tRNA) molecules are approximately 80 nucleotides in length. The record is from RNAcentral. RNAcentral also lists the same sequence under 1 other name. Lineage: Bacteria; Bacillati; Mycoplasmatota; Mollicutes; Mycoplasmatales; Mycoplasmataceae.
UGGGUUGUAGCCAAGCGGUAAGGCAUCAGAUUUUGAUUCUGACAUGCGGUGGUUCGAAUCCACCCUACCCAGCCA